CAUUAAAAAUCUCCAAUUCAACUUUAGUUGACAUUAUCAAAACUCAAUUUGAUAAAAAAAAAAAUGCAGGCAGAUCACAUACAAAGUCAACAGUAUAUUCAACUUGCAGGAACUCAAAUGUCAUACACCAUAAUCAAAUUUAAAGUGCACAGUUAACAAGUGAGUUAUACAAUAUAGGUUAUGCAGUAAGAUCUCAUCAGUCCAUUCACCACAUGAAUAAGCAGUUUACACAAAAACCAGCAGUGUCAAGUCACAAGUGUAACAUGCCAUAUACAUUAUAAUAAACUCAUGCAGAAAACAUAAAAUUUGUCCAAAAUCGUCAACUUAUAAAUCAAGACAAUUCUUAGAUUCCAGACAACUUACGAUUUCUAGACAAAGGCAUUGUCAAGAUAAAGUCUCAGAUUUAGGGAUUUUAAGUCAGUUACAAAAGUCUCAUAGUAUAGACAAAUAUUAUAUAUGUAACUCGACAAUUAUGGAACGAACUCACCAAAAUCCCUUAUUAGGGUUUCAAGAAAUAAACGAGAUCAACUGAACCAGUGCAAGAAACCUUCGAGUCUACCAACAUCGGCACCAAGAACCCCUGUCACGAGCUCUAAUACCACUGUUACGAGAAGUUCAAGAAAUCAGCCCACUUAAGUCAACAAAAAUAACGAAAAAUCACAAAAAAACUGAAAACUGAAAAAAUGUAAAAACACAAUGAAGAAUACGGUAUUUUCGCCCUAAGGCAAGAGGUUCGGAACUUCGUUCCUAAUCCCCUUUUGAGCUUCCGUCAAAUGGAAGAGUAACGGUUCAGUUUUAG
Molecule: long non-coding RNA, 799 nt
Filed under: Olea europaea (common olive)
Lineage: Eukaryota; Viridiplantae; Streptophyta; Magnoliopsida; Lamiales; Oleaceae
Description: long non-coding RNA (OEUR_LNC012210)
Source: RNAcentral